UACGUAGGGGGCAAGCGUUGUCCGGAAUCAUUGGGCGUAAAGAGCGUGUAGGCGGCCCGAUAAGUCCGCUGUGAAAGUCCAGGGCUCAACCCUGGGAUGCCGGUGGAUACUGUCGGGCUCGAGUCCGGAAGAGGAGUGUGGAAUUCCUGGUGUAGCGGUGAAAUGCGCAGAUAUCAGGAGGAACACCCGUGGCGAAGGCGGCUCUCUGGGACGGUACUGACGCUGAGACGCGAAAGCGUGGGGAGCGAACAGG
Molecule: ribosomal RNA, 253 nt
Filed under: uncultured bacterium
Lineage: Bacteria
Description: partial 16S ribosomal RNA
Rfam family: Bacterial small subunit ribosomal RNA
Source: RNAcentral